RNAcentral lists this ribosomal RNA (497 nucleotides) under uncultured bacterium. Its description in RNAcentral is "partial 16S ribosomal RNA". It matches the Rfam family "Bacterial small subunit ribosomal RNA", at positions 28 to 507 of the family's 1533-position model. The record is from RNAcentral.
GAUGAACGCUGGCGGCGUGCCUAAUACAUGCAAGUCGAGCGAACAGACGAGGAGCUUGCUCCUCUGACGUUAGCGGCGGACGGGUGAGUAACACGUGGAUAACCUACCUAUAAGACUGGGAUAACUUCGGGAAACCGGAGCUAAUACCGGAUAAUAUAUUGAACCGCAUGGUUCAAUAGUGAAAGACGGUUUUGCUGUCACUUAUAGAUGGAUCCGCGCCGCAUUAGCUAGUUGGUAAGGUAACGGCUUACCAAGGCAACGAUGCGUAGCCGACCUGAGAGGGUGAUCGGCCACACGGGAACUGCGACACGGUCCAGACUCCUGCGGGAGGCAGCAGUAGGGAAUCUUCCGCAAUGGGCGAAAGCCUGACGGAGCAACGCCGCGUGAGUGAUGAAGGUCUUCGGAUCGUAAAACUCUGUUAUUAGGGAAGAACAAAUGUGUAAGUAACUAUGCACGUCUUGACGGUACCUAAUCAGAAAGCCACGGCUAACUACGUG